GAUUUCUGGUUUGAUGCCCCUGACCCGCGCCUUUCGGGGUGUGAGUGUCGGUGUGGCGUCUACCAUCUUUGUGGAAACUUGCUCUGGGCCUUUACUGGUUCGGAGUUCUGGGUCCACAUCUUUUACUUUGAAAAAAUUAGAGUGUUUAAAGCAGGCGUUUGCUCUGAAUACAUUAGCAUGGAAUAAUAAUAUAGGACUUCGGUUCUAUUUUGUUGGUUUCUAGUACUGAAGUAAUGAUUGAUAGGGAUAGUUGGGGGUGCUAGUAUUCAGCGGCCAGAGGUGAAAUUCUUGGAUUCGCUGAAGACUAACUUAUGCGAAAGCAUU
RNAcentral lists this ribosomal RNA (324 nucleotides) under uncultured Pseudodifflugiidae. RNAcentral describes it as "partial small subunit ribosomal RNA". The stretch from base 57 to 324 matches the Rfam family "Eukaryotic small subunit ribosomal RNA", at positions 686 to 955 of the family's 1831-position model. Lineage: Eukaryota; Endomyxa; Gromiida; Pseudodifflugiidae. The record is from RNAcentral.